CAAUAUAAUGUGGAAAUUGUUAACAAAAUAGGUUCUAGUAAAAGCAUCCGGUUUUUACAUACUUUUGGUCUGUUUAAAUUAUUUUUCUAAGAUUUAUUAACUCACAAAAAAUUGAGAAACAGGUCGUCCCGACACUGGUCGUAAAACAUGAGGAAUUAAAUGAAAAUAUAUGACGUUACAUUUAAUAGCCGAAUUUUUUUGCGUUAUCAAAAUCGUGCGACGUUAAUACCCCACGCAAUGCUACAGGACCGAAGUGAUUAUCAUGAUAUAUGGUCGGGUGAACAAUAAAGUAAUGAGCGAGGUGACCGAGCGGCAAGCGGCCACUCUUAUGACGCGCCUUAUCUGCCACCGCACGCUAUGUGUGUUUGUUCAGACUUUCCUACUUCAGUGACGCCAUGUUGGUUCAAUACGGGCUUCACGCCAAUGCAAACGUUACAAAUGAUAUCUAAACGAUCUUGCCGUGCCCGGGGCUAAUAAUAAUAAACUCCAACGCUGCCAUAUUAAAGGACGGAAUCGCCAUGUUUCGAGGCUAAAAUAUGUUCGGUAUCAUAAAACUUUUAACAGAAUCUAAGUAUUUAUUACGUAAGUUGGAGUUUUGCUCGAGUAAGGAAGUAAUGCAGUAUUUCGUAUAGAGGCAGCCCUACUCGGUAACACAAAUAAAACAGCGAU
Molecule: long non-coding RNA, 669 nt
Organism: Papilio xuthus (Asian swallowtail)
Lineage: Eukaryota; Metazoa; Arthropoda; Insecta; Lepidoptera; Papilionidae
Exons: 5
Source: RefSeq, a predicted model, not a curated record